GAUGAAGAACGUAGCGAAAUGCGAUAAGUAAUGUGAAUUGCAGAAUUCAGUGAAUCAUCGAAUCUUUGAACGCACAUUGCGCCCGCGAGUAUUCUCGCGGGCAUGCCUGUCCGAGCGUCAUUUCAACCCUCAGGGCCCGCCUGCUUGCAGGCGCGGCGCUGGUGUUGGGGAUCGGCUACCCUGCCGUCCCCCAAAUACAGUGGCGGUCUCGCUGCAGCCUCCCUUGCGUAGUAGCAACACUCGCAUGCGGAGCGCGGCGCGGCCACGCCGUAAAACCCCCGACUUUCUGAACGUUGACCUCGGAUCAGGUAGGAAUACCCGCUGAACUUAAGCAUAUCAAUAAGCGGAGGA
This 351-nucleotide unclassified non-coding RNA is filed under the name soil metagenome. RNAcentral's name for it is "partial contains 5.8S ribosomal RNA, internal transcribed spacer 2, and large subunit ribosomal RNA". The stretch from base 1 to 120 matches the Rfam family "5.8S ribosomal RNA", at positions 35 to 154 of the family's 154-position model. The record is from RNAcentral.